GGGGGGAGCAAGCGUUGUUCGGAAUCACUGGGCGUAAAGGGCGUGUAGGCGGUCGAGUAAGUGGGAUGUGAAAUCCCCCGGCUUACCCGGGGACCGGCAUCUCAAACUGCUCGGCUAGAGUAUGGGAGAGGAUGAGGGAAUUCCUGGUGUAGCGGUGAAAUGCGUAGAUAUCAGGAGGAACACCGGUGGCGAAAGCGCUCAUCUGGCCCAAUACUGACGCUGAGGCGCGAAAGCUAGGGGAGCAAACGGGAUUAGAUACCCCGGUAGUCCUAGCCGUAAACGGUGAGCACUAGGUGUUGGAGGCAUCGACCCCUCCAGUGCCGCAGCUAACGCAUUAAGUGCUCCGCCUGGGGAGUACGGCCGCAAGGUUGAA
RNAcentral lists this ribosomal RNA (373 nucleotides) under uncultured bacterium. RNAcentral describes it as "bacterial SSU rRNA". It matches the Rfam family "Bacterial small subunit ribosomal RNA", at positions 527 to 898 of the family's 1533-position model. The record is from RNAcentral.